GACGAACCGUGCGAACGUUGUUCGGAAUCACUGGGCUUAAAGGGCGCGUAGGCGGGUGCUCAAGUCCGUGGUGAAAUCCUCCGGCUCAACCGGAGAACUGCCUCGGAUACUGGGUGCCUCGAGGGUGGUAGGGGUAUGCGGAACUAUCGGUGGAGCGGUGAAAUGCGUUGAUAUCGAUAGGAACUCCGGUGGCGAAGGCGGCAUACUGGACCACCUCUGACGCUGAGGCGCGAAAGCCAGGGGAGCAAACGGG
RNAcentral lists this ribosomal RNA (253 nucleotides) under uncultured bacterium. RNAcentral describes it as "partial 16S ribosomal RNA". It matches the Rfam family "Bacterial small subunit ribosomal RNA", at positions 524 to 776 of the family's 1533-position model. The record is from RNAcentral.